Molecule: non-coding RNA, 83 nt
Organism: Podarcis lilfordi (Lilford's wall lizard)
Lineage: Eukaryota; Metazoa; Chordata; Lepidosauria; Squamata; Lacertidae
Source: the annotation of a GenBank genome assembly
GCUUGGAUAGCUCAGUUGGUUAGUGUGUGGCGCUGAUAACUCCAAAGAUUGCAGGUUUGAUCCCUGCGUAUUCCUCCAUUGCA